UCCCCCCCGUCCCCCGGAGGCUGGGACUUCCGGCGUAGCUUGGACGCAGCCAGAAAGCUCGCGGUGUAGCCUGAUGUCGGCGCUGCGGCACGUCGUGUGCGCCCUGUCUGGCGGUGUGGACAGCGCGGUGGCGGCGCUGCUGUUGCGGCGGAGAGGUUACCAGGUGACAGGGGUAUUUAUGAAGAACUGGGACUCGCUGGAUGAGCAGGGCGUUUGUGCUGCUGACAAGGACUGUGAAGAUGCGUAUAAAGUUUGUCAGAUCUUAGACAUCCCUUUCCACCAGGUGUCCUAUGUGAAGGAGUAUUGGAAUGAUGUGUUCAGUGACUUUUUGAACGAGUAUGAGAAAGGAAGGACUCCAAACCCCGACAUCAACUGCAAUAAGCAUAUCAAGUUCAGUUGCUUUUAUCACUAUGCUGUGGACAAUCUUGGAGCAGAUGCCGUUGCCACUGGCCACUACGCCAGGACCUCACUGGAGGAUGAGGAAGUCUUUGAGCAAAAGCACACUAAGAAGCCUGACGGGCUGUUCAGAAAUCGAUUUGAAGUCAGAAACCCCGUAAAACUUCUCCAAGCAGCUGACAGCUUUAAAGACCAGACCUUCUUUCUCAGCCAGGUUUCCCAGGAUGCCCUGAGAAGGACCAUCUUUCCCCUGGGGGAACUAACAAAAGAUUUUGUAAAGAAAAUAGCCGCGGAGAAUAGCCUCCAUCACGUGCUUCAGAAGAGAGAGAGCAUGGGCAUCUGCUUCAUUGGUAAGAGAAACUUGGAGCAUUUCCUUCUUCAGUAUUUGCAGCCUCGGCCUGGAAAGUUUGUUUCUAUCGAGGAUAAUACAGUUCUGGGAACACACAAAGAUUCAGAGCUGGAGUGAGACUGUGUCUGUGAUACAUUACUAAGAGAUGCUGUAGCAGACUGUAGGAAGUGCCGCUGGAGAAAGAACAUAGCUGACCUCAGAGCCAGGUGACUGAGGAGCACAUGGGUGCCGUUCACGUAAUCACAGAGCCAGACAACCAUGAUGCACUGUGCAGAGUGAGGACAGAGGCAGUCAGUCGCAAGUGCUCACACCCUUAAGUGGGAACAGAGGCGACAUGCCUCCUGAGACUUGAUGUCUAGCCUGAACUGUGGGACUAGCUGGAAGGACAGGGCUUGUGGAGGAAGCAGGGAGAGACCCAGCUGAACUGGGUGUUAUAUUGACCUUGCUGGAGACAGUGCUGCUCUUCCUAGCAUCCAGCGGUUAGGAGGUGGAUGAAUCCUGCCAGAUUGCCUCUGCCAGGGCACACGCAUUCCUGUGGAGGUAGAGCUGGGGAGCAGGUGGCCUGCCCGUGCAUGAGGUGGGUGUGGCAUGGAUACAAGGAAUGUGCUCAGUAAGCACAAGACCUGUUUGGAGAGCUGUGCCCAUGGAGGUCAGAGCCACCAGAUGAAAGAGCUAGCAUCUGUGUCAGGCUUAGUGUCAUCCUAGUCACUGUCACAUCCCUCGAGACCUGAAGCCAAGGCAGGCUGUACACAGGUGUAUGGUUAGGGCUAAGCCAGCACGCCUCGUAGCAAUCCAUAACCUCCCCAUUUGUGAGAGCUGAGAUGCACCCCUGGAAUACUAUUUCAUAGGUUGGUUCCUGUACACUUUGGGCCAGAGAGCUAAGAUCAGCGGCUUGAGAGAGCCCUGGUACGUGGUGGAGAAGGAUGGCACCAAGGGUGACGUGCUUGUGGCUCCCCGGGUGGACCACCCAGCUCUGUACAGGGACCUGCUCAGGACCAACCGAGUACACUGGAUUGCGGAGGAGCCACCUGCUGCCUUGGUCAGAGACAAGAUGAUGGAGUGCCAUUUCCGAUUCCGCCACCAGAUGGCACUAGUGCCCUGCGUGCUGACUCUCAAUCAGGAUGGCACUGUGUGGGUAACGGCUGUGAAGGCUGUGAGGGGCCUUGCCCUGGGACAGUUUGCAGUGUUCUACAAGGGUGAGGAGUGCCUCGGCAGUGGGAAAAUCCUGCGGCUAGGGCCGUCUGCCUACACACUCCAGAAGGGUAAGAACAGAACUCGAGUGGCUCCCGAGGCCUCCAGUGACAGCCCAGGCCUGCACCCCACAUCCUGACAAAGGCCAAGGAGGAGGCAUUAGAGCAGAGUCGUCAGUGAUGGGUGUUAGUGCUGCCAGAAUCAAUAGGCGGGCUGGCUGCAGAGGAAGGAGGGUCUACGCUGCUGCUCCAGGAAACCAGAGCGUGUGCUGGCUGUGGGCCCUGAUGCAGCUGCUCUUCCACAGCAUCCAGGAGGCCAAUGGAGAAACCGCAUCAAAUAAAACUGUCAAAGUCUGA
Mus musculus (house mouse) is the source of this 2292-nucleotide RNA transcript. It is a transcript of the gene named tRNA 5-methylaminomethyl-2-thiouridylate methyltransferase, with no coding region annotated. The record is from RefSeq and is marked validated. The transcript has 11 exons. NCBI's taxonomy places the organism in Eukaryota, Metazoa, Chordata, Mammalia, Rodentia, Muridae.